AAUCGAGGAGACAACAGGGAUUGCCUUAGUAACGGCGAGUGAAGCGGCAACAGCUCAAAUUUGAAAUCUGGCUCUUUUAGAGUCCGAGUUGUAAUUUGCAGAGGGCGCUUUGGCGUUGGCAGCGGUCCAAGUUCCUUGGAACAGGACGUCACAGAGGGUGAGAAUCCCGUACGUGGUCGCUAGCCAUCACCGUGUAAAGCCCCUUCGACGAGUCGAGUUGUUUGGGAAUGCAGCUCUAAAUGGGAGGUAAAUUUCUUCUAAAGCUAAAUACUGGCCAGAGACCGAUAGCGCACAAGUAGAGUGAUCGAAAGAUGAAAAGCACUUUGGAAAGAGAGUCAAAUAGCACGUGAAAUUGUUGAAAGGGAAGCGCUUGCAGCCAGACUUGCCUGUAGUUGCUCAUCCGGGCUUUUGCCCGGUGCACUCUUCUGCGGGCAGGCCAGCAUCAGUUUGGGCGGUUGGAUAAAGGUCUCUGUCAUGUACCUCUCUUCGGGGAGAACUUAUAGGGGAGACGACAUACAACCAGCCUGGACUGAGGUCCGCGCAUUUGCUAGGAUGCUGGCGUAAUGGCUGUAAGCGGCCCGUCUUGAAACACGGACCAAGGAGUCUAACAUCUAUGCGAGUGUUUGGGUGUCAAGCCCGAGCGCGUAAUGAAAGUGAACGGAGGUGGGACCCCUUUUAGGGUGCACCAUCGACCGAUCCUGAUGUCUUCGGAUGGAUUUGAGUAAGAGCAUGGCUGUUGGGACCCGAAAGAUGGUGAACUAUGCUUGAAUAGGGUGAAGCCAGAGGAAACUCUGGUGGAGGCUCGCAGCGGUUCUGACGUGCAAAUCGAUCGUC
Molecule: ribosomal RNA, 834 nt
Filed under: Phaeosphaeriaceae sp.
Lineage: Eukaryota; Fungi; Ascomycota; Dothideomycetes; Pleosporales; Phaeosphaeriaceae
Description: eukaryotic LSU rRNA
Rfam family: Eukaryotic large subunit ribosomal RNA
Source: RNAcentral